This 75-nucleotide antisense RNA is filed under the name Micromonospora chokoriensis. RNAcentral's name for it is "ASpks TB sRNA". It matches the Rfam family "ASpks TB sRNA". Lineage: Bacteria; Bacillati; Actinomycetota; Actinomycetes; Micromonosporales; Micromonosporaceae. The record is from RNAcentral.
CUUCACCGACCCCAACCACAACGGCUCACCACCCGCACGGUCCUGCCCAUAGGUGGCCAACAACGCCUGCGCCUC